AGUGAACGCUGGCGGUAGGCCUAACACAUGCCAGUCGAACGGCAGCACAGUAAGAGCUUGCUCUUACGGGUGGCGAGUGGCGGACGGGUGAGGAAUACAUCGGAAUCUACUUUUUCGUGGGGGAUAACGUAGGGAAACUUACGCUAAUACCGCAUACGACCUACGGGUGAAAGCAGGGGAUCUUCGGACCUUGCGCGAUUGAAUGAGCCGAUGUCGGAUUAGCUAGUUGGCGGGGUAAAGGCCCACCAAGGCGACGAUCCGUAGCUGGUCUGAGAGGAUGAUCAGCCACACUGGAACUGAGACACGGUCCAGACUCCUACGGGAGGCAGCAGUGGGGAAUAUUGGACAAUGGGCGCAAGCCUGAUCCAGCCAUACCGCGUGGGGGAAGAAGGCCUUCGGGUUGUAAAGCCCUUUUGUUGGGAAAGAAAAGCAGCAGGUUAAUACCCCGCUGUUCUGACGGUACCCAAAGAAUAAGCACCGGCUAACUUCGUG
RNAcentral lists this ribosomal RNA (492 nucleotides) under uncultured bacterium. Its description in RNAcentral is "partial 16S ribosomal RNA". It matches the Rfam family "Bacterial small subunit ribosomal RNA", at positions 29 to 507 of the family's 1533-position model. The record is from RNAcentral.